This 250-nucleotide ribosomal RNA is filed under the name uncultured bacterium. Its description in RNAcentral is "partial 16S ribosomal RNA". It matches the Rfam family "Bacterial small subunit ribosomal RNA", at positions 525 to 775 of the family's 1533-position model. The record is from RNAcentral.
ACGUAGGGGGCUAGCGUUAUCCGGAAUUACUGGGCGUAAAGGGUGCGUAGGUGGUUUCUUAAGUCAGAGGUGAAAGGCUACGGCUCAACCGUAGUAAGCCUUUGAAACUGGGAAACUUGAGUGCAGGAGAGGAGAGUGGAAUUCCUAGUGUAGCGGUGAAAUGCGUAGAUAUUAGGAGGAACACCAGUUGCGAAGGCGACUCUCUGGACUGUAACUGACACUGAGGCACGAAAGCGUGGGGAGCAAACAG